RNAcentral lists this ribosomal RNA (253 nucleotides) under uncultured bacterium. RNAcentral's name for it is "partial 16S ribosomal RNA". It matches the Rfam family "Bacterial small subunit ribosomal RNA", at positions 524 to 776 of the family's 1533-position model. The record is from RNAcentral.
UACGGGGGGGGCAAGCGUUGUUCGGAAUUACUGGGCGUAAAGGGCUCGUAGGCGGCCAACUAAGUCGGAUGUGAAAUCCCCAGGCUUAACCUGGGAACUGCAUCCGAUACUGGAUGGCUUGAAUUCGGGAGAGGGAUGCAGAAUUCCAGGUGUAGCGGUGAAAUGCGUAGAUAUCUGGAGGAAUACCGGUGGCGAAGGCGGCAUCCUGGACCAACACUGACACUGAGGAGCGAAAGCCAGGGGAGCAAACGGG